UGAGGAAUAUUGGUCAAUGGGCGAGAGCCUGAACCAGCCAAGUAGCGUGCAGGAUGACGGCCCUAUGGGUUGUAAACUGCUUUUAUAUGGGAAUAAAGUGAGGGACGUGUCCCUUAUUGCAUGUACCAUAUGAAUAAGGACCGGCUAAUUCCGUGCCAGCAGCCGCGGUAAUACGGAAGGUCCAGGCGUUAUCCGGAUUUAUUGGGUUUAAAGGGAGCGUAGGCUGUUUGUUAAGCGUGUUGUGAAAUGUAAGAGCUCAACUUUUAGAUUGCAGCGCGAACUGGCAGACUUGAGUGCGCACAACGUAGGCGGAAUUCAUGGUGUGGCGAUGAAAUGCUUAGAUAUCAUGACGAACUCCGAUUGCGAAGGCAGCUUACGGGCGCGCAACUGACGCUAAAGCUCGAAGGUGCGGGUAUCGAACAGG
RNAcentral lists this ribosomal RNA (424 nucleotides) under Verrucomicrobiota bacterium. Its description in RNAcentral is "Verrucomicrobia bacterium partial 16S ribosomal RNA". It matches the Rfam family "Bacterial small subunit ribosomal RNA", at positions 355 to 776 of the family's 1533-position model. The record is from RNAcentral. Lineage: Bacteria; Pseudomonadati; Verrucomicrobiota.